GAAUUCGAUUCAGGCCUAACACAUGCAAGUCGAGCGGUAGAGAUUCUUCGGAAUCUUGAGAGCGGCGUACGGGUGCGGAACACGUGUGCAACCUACCUUUAUCUGGGGGAUAGCCUUUCGAAAGGAAGAUUAAUACCCCAUAAUAUAUUGAUUGGCAUCAAUCGAUAUUGAAAACUCCGGUGGAUAGAGAUGGGCACGCGCAAGAUUAGCUAGUUGGUGAGGUAACGGCUCACCAAGGCAAUGAUCUUUAGGGGGCCUGAGAGGGUGAUCCCCCACACUGGUACUGAGACACGGACCAGACUCCUACGGGAGGCAGCAGUGAGGAAUAUUGGACAAUGGGUGCAAGCCUGAUCCAGCCAUCCCGCGUGAAGGACGACUGCCCUAUGGGUUGUAAAGUUCUUUGUACAGGGAUAAACCUACCCUCGUGAGG
Molecule: ribosomal RNA, 430 nt
Filed under: uncultured bacterium
Lineage: Bacteria
Description: bacterial SSU rRNA
Rfam family: Bacterial small subunit ribosomal RNA
Source: RNAcentral